AUCCUUUUGUACACUAGUUCAUAAGCAUGAUGAUUAAGUAUUCACACUUUUGUGUAAAAUAUGCCUCCCUGAAAUCUUGUUAUGACAUCAGCACAUUACCUGUCUGAUA
Small nucleolar RNA from Phyllostomus discolor (pale spear-nosed bat), 109 nucleotides. RefSeq annotates it as small nucleolar RNA U13. The record is from RefSeq and is a predicted model, not a curated record. The transcript has a single exon. Lineage: Eukaryota; Metazoa; Chordata; Mammalia; Chiroptera; Phyllostomidae.